GGCUUGGGGCGGCAGGCCUACACAUGCAAGUCGAGCGGAUGACGGGAGCUUGCUCCUUGAUUCAGCGGCGGACGGGUGAGUAAUGCCUAGGAAUCUGCCUGGUAGUGGGGGACAACGUUUCGAAAGGAACGCUAAUACCGCAUACGUCCUACGGGAGAAAGCAGGGGACCUUCGGGCCUUGCGCUAUCAGAUGAGCCUAGGUCGGAUUAGCUUGUUGGUGAGGUAAUGGCUCACCAAGGCGACGAUCCGUAACUGGUCUGAGAGG
RNAcentral lists this ribosomal RNA (265 nucleotides) under Pseudomonas fulva. RNAcentral describes it as "partial 16S ribosomal RNA". It matches the Rfam family "Bacterial small subunit ribosomal RNA", at positions 38 to 299 of the family's 1533-position model. The record is from RNAcentral. Lineage: Bacteria; Pseudomonadati; Pseudomonadota; Gammaproteobacteria; Pseudomonadales; Pseudomonadaceae.